CUUUUUUUUUUUUUUUUUUGGUCAACACAGAGGUAUCCCAGUCAUUGCCGGACUAAUCCCCUGGGCUGUACAGAGCCCCGUCCACGGAUAUACAGUAAGAUUCGAACUGGUGACCUACGAGAUAUUAUCGCAUGUGAUUUUUUAGAUUUUUUUUUAAAUUGCAUUUUUUUUGGACUUUUUGUAGAAAAAAUACUAUAGCGAUUUGAUAUAUAUGAGAUAAAAAAAUGAUUGAAAAAUAUAUCCACAAAAAACGUAAUAAUUUUUCUUUAAAAAAUUACAAUCCAAACACACCCUUAGAUUUUUCAUUUUCAAGCUUUUUACCAUAAACUGUAAGGGUGAGGUUUCGCUAAACUGGGAUGUUGAUGGUUGGGCCACCGGUGCGCGCAUGACAAAUUCAAUUGGUGACACCCAAAACCGAAUUGUCCUGAAAAGUGCCAUGCAUGAUCAUUGAUGUCUUCAUCAGGGAUAUAUGUCUUUCUAGGGUCAUCCAUAUUCUAUUCACUGUUCAUUCAUUUCCACUAAAAUAACACGAGUAAUUCUACCAUGCCCUAACUUCAUAUUAGAGUUCUGUGAUGCUGCAACAAAUUUAAGAUUAAGGAAAUAAGUUGAAACGCGAAUAUAUUUGCAGUGGGUUGUCCCUUUUAUACCAGCUAUUCCUCAUUGCAAUGGUCUUUUAAUCAUGGUGUUUCUUACCUACAGAAUCCACACAGAAGAACAAUUAGUCGGCGUACCCAAGGAUGUCCAGAUCCAAUAUGGAAGAAUCUACGAGGCUGAAACUGAAGAUUAACUAUGAUUUCGCUAUAAAGGUUCAGUCAACUAGUCGGCCGAAC
RNAcentral lists this long non-coding RNA (830 nucleotides) under Coffea arabica (coffee). RNAcentral's name for it is "long non-coding RNA (CARA_LNC003917)". The record is from RNAcentral. Lineage: Eukaryota; Viridiplantae; Streptophyta; Magnoliopsida; Gentianales; Rubiaceae.